GUCUGAUCUCCCUGUGCAGGCAAAGAAGCAAAAGCAUGGGUCACAGGGCCUUAGUAAGGGAAAAUUUCAGAGUGGAGCUAUAGCUAGGGCUGAAGCAAAAAACAUUAUUAUGGGACAAGAGAGCUUUCAAGUAUUUUAGCUAUGGGUGAACAGAACCAUAUUUGCUGUUUUGCAACUGGAAGGCACCUAUAUGGCUUCUGUAGGAACCUCUGAGCACUAGGAUGUUUCAAGAUUUAAAUUGUUAGUGCAAGGCCCUGGGAGGCUGGGCAUUGAUGGGUGGCCCCAAAUUCUGUUCUGUAUUCAGGGCCAAGGAUAAAAAUGGAGGGACUAUGCUUAUGUUUAGGUGGCUUUCUCGUCUCUCGUAUGUGGACUUAAGGUGGUUCUGGAUUGGCAAAUUACUUAGAACCGAGGAAUAUUCCUCAGGAGGCCCAUUUCUGAAGUAAGGAAAGUUAUAGUGAGAAGAGGCACUGAAAAUGUCUGCUCAUGUGGGUGCUGCAUCACUAGAAAGAACCCAUAUUCAAUUUGGAACUAUGGAAGGUAGAAAUUAAGAGGUUUUAAUAAACUCCAUGGGAAAGAAAAACAAGACAAGAUCUGGUAAUUCAAUAUCCUUGUGGAAAGAAGAAUCUAGAUGGCACUGCACUAGCGACCCUGGGGUGGCGGUGGCUGAGGCACUCAUUGGAGGAAGAUAGAAGAUUCUUAUUAGAAGGAUAGUCCUUGAAUAUCAAAGGUGCUUGAGAUUUUCAAACUCAUCAACUUUUAGAGGAAAAUAAGUGUUAUGGGAAACAUCAGCUUUGAAAUCAGAAAAGUCUAUGUUUCGAUCUCAGCUGUGCCGCCGGAGAGCCUAUGGAUUUGUGGAGUACAUAGCAUGUUGGACACAAAUUGAUGGUAAUGAUUGUUGUUUGUAUUGUUAAUUUCUCCUUUUGUGUAACAUACUGUGUGACCUUGUUACUUAAUAUUUUUACCCUUCUGCUUUCUUAUUGCAGCAGAAUGAUACCCACCCAAUAGGAUCAAAUAAGAAUUCAAAUUUGGAACCUUGUAGGUGACAAGUGACAGGAUGACUUGUAUCAGAUUUAACUGUGUCAUUCUGCUCACUGUUAAUUCUUGUCUCUAGCCUGAACAUGGCAGCAUUUUAUCUCCUAAACGCCUUGAUAUACAUAUAUAAAUAUCUACAUGUUGUUCAGCCCAGACCUGUGGAAAUGUCAUAGAAGAACAUUCUUGAUGGCAUAGCAUUCAAAGAACUCUUUGAAUAAUUCUAGAAAAGUCUUAUGGAUUUUUAGAAUUCCUUUGGGGUUGGUAAAUAUUAGCUAG
RNAcentral lists this long non-coding RNA (1308 nucleotides) under Homo sapiens (human). RNAcentral describes it as "HSALNT0147695". Lineage: Eukaryota; Metazoa; Chordata; Mammalia; Primates; Hominidae. The record is from RNAcentral.